CCACAUAAAGCAGCAGCAGCAGCUUCUCUCUUUGUCUCUCUCUCUCUCGCGCUGCUGCUUCUCCUACGACUAAAACGUAAUCCUCCAUCCCCGACAGAUCUACCCUUGCCCUAUUUCCAUUUAGAUUUAGGGCUUCGAAAAGCUCACAAUUACCCCACCGGCACGAUAGAAUUAGCGGAAACCCUCACGAGAUUUCCGUCUUCCUGAGGAGAUUUUGACUGGCGGCCGGUGCUUCCCGCUGCCCCCUUCGCUUGCCAUGGCAUCGGCGCCUCCGCCGGGAGGCGGCAAGGUCUACACCCGUAAAUCCCUCAACAAGGCCGCCAAGACCGCCUUCCACCCCCGCCCCCCUCCGCCGCCCCACGAUGACCUCGACUCACCCCGCUGCCAACCCCCGCCUCACCCCGUCGCCUCCGACGACGCUUCCUCCGGCCCCAACCGACCCUCCGCUCGCCCGCCGCUCGCCAACGGCCGCGGCUCCCUUGGCCGGAGCGUCGCCUCUCGGUCGCGGAAAGAGGCGCGGGAGCUGCGGCGGAAGCUCGCCGCCGAGCUCGACCUGGUCCGUGCCCUCUCCAAGCGGCUUGAGGCCCAUGAGCUUCAGCUAGCCUCGGCCGCCGGGUACACCCGCUCCCAGCUCUCUGUUACGGACCCCAACACCCCCGGAUCUGGGGGGAGGGCGCCCGAGGUGGCGGCGACCGCCGGACCCCUCCGCCGCCAGCUCAGUGUAUCCGUCGCUGCCUCCGAGAAUAACCCGGGUGAGGGCGCGGAGAAGGAGAAGCGGACGCCCAAGGCGAACCAGUAUUACCGGAAUUCUGACUUCGUACUUGGGAAGGAGAAAUCUGCCCCGAACGACCAGCAUAGCCACAAGAAAUCGAAAGCCAUUGGUGGAAAGAAGCCAUCUUCGGAAUUGCCGAAUGCUGGCAGUGAAGGGCUGGUGGAUAAGAAACUCUAUGCGCAGGCAUUCAAGAGUUGCAGCACGCUUCUCUCGAGGUUGAUGAAGCACAAGCAUGGAUGGGUGUUCAAUGUGCCGGUUGACGUGAAGGCCCUAGGUUUGCAUGACUAUUAUAGCAUCAUCAAGUGCCCGAUGGACCUUGGCACCGUGAAGUCUCGGCUUGCAGAUGACUGCUACAAUUCACCUCAUGAGUUUGCGGAGGACGUGAGACUGACGUUCUGGAAUGCAAUGACUUACAACCUCAAGGGGCAGGACGUGCAUGCCAUGGCCGAUCAGUUACUCCAAAUAUUCGAGGAGCGGUGGCUUGCCAUAGAAGCUGAGUUUGCACACCUUCCUCGUCCACCAAUAACCAAGAAGCCUCCGCCACUCGACUUGAGGAUGUUGGAGAGGUCUGAUUCCACUGUACAUCCUGUGGCAGCCGAACCAAUAACGAAGCAAGUGAAUCAUUCCACACACAUUGGAAGAGUUCCAGCUCCCAAGAAGCCGAAGGCUAAGGAUCCGAACAAGAGGGAUAUGACAUUUGAGGAGAAGCAGAAACUGAGCAACAGCCUGCAGAACCUGCCCCCGGAAAAGCUGGAGAGCAUUGUGCAGAUUAUUAAGAAGCGGAAUUCGUCUCUGAGCCAGCAUGAUGAUGAAAUUGAAGUGGACAUAGACAGUGUGGACGUGGAGACUCUCUGGGAACUUGACAGAUUCAUCACAAAUUACAAAAAGGCUUUGAGCAAGAACAAAAGGAAAGCCGAACUUGCCACUUCGGUAAGGCAAGCAGUUGGGCAUAAUGCACCAGAAGUGGUGCAUACAAUGACUCAGGAACCUGUUGAUGCCGAUGAACCUGAGAAAAUGGUGGAUGAGAAAUAUGUGGCUUCUUCCUCACCAGUUGGAGGAGAAAAGGAAGGGGAAAAUGCAAUAAGAACUAGCAGCUCCAGCAGCGAUUCUGGUUCCUCAUCCAGUGAUUCUGACAGUGAAAGUUCCUCUGCCUAUGGCUCGGAUGCACCACUCUCACACUCACCUAGGACGUGAAUGAAUCAAGGCAAUGCAGAAGCUCUGGAACAGCAUGGUACAUGUUUCAUAAGAUGGUGUCCCAUGCUGCUAGGGCAGCAAGUGGGUUUGGUUUUAAAUCAAACUCCUUCAAGCCGGUCUGUGGAUUGGGUUCAAUGAGCACCAAUUUGGAUUGGUUUAGAAUCCAAUUAUAAUUCAAUUGAAAACUAUUCUAACAUGACCCAACUGGAACUCAAUACAAUUUGGCAAUCUAAUAUGCAUGUUACAUAAGCAAGUAUAUGGAUCAUUUUAAAAUGGAGUUGCUUCUCGAAAAAAGAGUGCGACAGUCGUCCACACGAAACAAUCAAGGUGCUCUUUGUUCUGUUAUGACUUGUAGAAUUGUAAGCUAUAAGCUCCUGGCAGCAGUCAUUCGAAAGCCUGCAGAAGCAAGGGUUCUGCCAUAUUCUGCUGAUGCAGCACUGGAUUAUGUUGGUGUAAUCUAUAGGUACAAGGGAAGCUUUCGUUUCAAUUUGGUCACACACAGACACUGUGACUAAUAAUGUAUUUGUUGCUUCUCGGAGCUGUGCUUCACCAGUAACCUAUGGUGAUUCGGUGGUCGUGGCAUCGAGGAACUAUUUCGGUCUCGCAAAAAUCCGCAAGAUUUCCCUUUGAUUUGGAUAGUUUGGUGUAAAUAAUAUGCACACGAAUCUCUGACUUAAUGCAGUCCAGCACUCGAUACUGUUGCUCGCCGUAGUAGAGCUGGUAUUUCAUCAUCCUGCAGGGCUUCUGAUGUUAUUUUGUCAUUGUCGAUGCAAGCGAAAGCAGCUAAAACAGGAGUUCCCAUCAAGCAUGCCAGCUAUAUCAUUUGGACCAUCACUUCUCCGGUAUCAGUGAGCAAGAGACGCACACAAGCCACCGAGGACAUCGGUGAGGCCGUCCAAGGUAACAGUAGCACUGCACGGUUCUUUAAUGUUUGUGGGGGUUGAUCGAGUCUGUGGUCUCUAUUCCUGUUUCUUCAUUAAUGUUUGUGGGGGUUGAUUAAGUAUUUUGCAUACAGAUUGCUGAUCUAUACCAUAUAGUCUGUUUCCGAAUAGUUAAAUAGUUGGAAUAAUUAUUGUGUGCUUUGCUAA
RNA transcript from Musa acuminata AAA Group (dessert banana), 3054 nucleotides. It is a transcript of the gene named transcription factor GTE4, with no coding region annotated. Lineage: Eukaryota; Viridiplantae; Streptophyta; Magnoliopsida; Zingiberales; Musaceae. The record is from RefSeq and is a predicted model, not a curated record. The transcript is spliced from 6 exons.